AGCCUUCUGUAUCCGUACUGAGACUUCGUCCACAAGGGCUGAUGAGACUUCCAAGAUAAGUGAAGCG
This 67-nucleotide microRNA precursor is filed under the name Schistosoma mattheei. Its description in RNAcentral is "mir-3492 microRNA precursor family". It matches the Rfam family "mir-3492 microRNA precursor family". Lineage: Eukaryota; Metazoa; Platyhelminthes; Trematoda; Strigeidida; Schistosomatidae. The record is from Rfam by way of RNAcentral.